This 208-nucleotide ribosomal RNA is filed under the name uncultured bacterium. Its description in RNAcentral is "partial 16S ribosomal RNA". It matches the Rfam family "Bacterial small subunit ribosomal RNA", at positions 568 to 774 of the family's 1533-position model. The record is from RNAcentral.
CGUCUAGGCGGUCAAGUAAGUUCACCCGUGAAAGCCCUCGGCUUAACCGAUGAAGGUCGGGUGAUACUGCUUGGCUUGGGUGUAGGAGAGGAGAGCGGAACUCACAGAGUAGCGGUGGAAUGCGUAGAUACUGUGAGGUACCCCGAUGGCGAAGACAGCUCUCUGGCCUACUACCGACGCUGAAGCGCGAAAGCGUGGGGAGCAAAGG